UUAUGUAAGAGCUUAGACGUGGCUCAGGAGUACGCUAUCUAGUGGGUUACACAUGUAAGUCAUAUGAAGACUUCUAUUCUGUCUUCAUGGCGACCGGGUGAGUAAUAAAUAGGAAUCUUCCUAUAGGAAGGGUUGAAUGCCCAUAAUUUAAAAGAAAGGAACUUUUCCGCCUGUAGAUGAGCCUAUUUAGUAAUAGAUAGUUGGUGGUGGUAAUGGCCUACCAAGUCUAUAAUGCUUAGUUGGUUUGAGAGAACGACCAACCACAGUGGCACUGAAAUAAGGGUCACCCGAAAAAUGUUCGGCAGCAGUGAGGAAUAUUGGACAAUGAGGGCAACCUUGAUCCAGCCAACUACGAAGGGUCAUACCUAAUUCUGUAAAAAUCCUAUCGGAGAGGAGCAUAAUGAGUUAACUCUCCUAUCAGUCCCGACUAACCUCGUGCCAGCAGUCGCGGUAAUACGAGGGGGGCUAGCGUUAUCCGUCUUGAAUGGGCCUAAAGUGUCUGUAGGCUGCUUGUAAAGGUAAAAAGUAUUACAACUAGCAAGCUAGAGUGGAAUUGGGGAAUCAGGGAACUCCAGGAGUAGGGAUAGAAUCCGGUGAUCCCUGGAAGACCGCUAUGGCGAAGGCCCUAUUCUAAGUAACCACUGACGCUGAGAGACUAGAGUGUGGGGAGCGAAGAGGAUUAGAUACCCUCGUAGUCCACACCUUAAACGAUGGAGGCUAUAGGUUGGGAUUCUUCCUUUAACUCAAUUUAAAGGAUAAUUCUCAUCCUAGAAGCGAAGGCAUUAAGCCUCCCGCCUGGGGAGUAUGAAGGCAACUUUGAAACCCAAACGUCUAGACGGCCUUAAAGACCAGCAGUGAAGCAUGUUGUUUAAAUCGAUACUCCGCGAAAAACCUUACCACUCCUUGUAUGUUACACAGGUGUUGCAUGGCUGUCUUGAGUUCGUGCCGCGAGGUGUCAGGUUAAUUCCGCUAACGAACGAAACCCCUCCUGUUAGUUAUACUUACUUUCAUUUUAACAUAAACUACACUAUUAAUGAGCUUCAAAAAUUGUUUCCACAAACUAAUUUAGUAGCCUAGUAGCUACAGUCUAGACUCUUUUGAAAGUCAAUCUAAUAGGGUAUGGUACUAAAAGUGCCAUUAAUUGGGGACGGCGACAAGCCCUCAUGGCCCUUAUGGAGUGGGCUAUAGUAACGUGCCACAAAAUCUUUAACAAUGGGAGACAAUGGUGUGAGCCGGAGAUAAUCCCGAACGAAAGAUAAUGGUUCGGAUUGUAGACUGAAACUCGUCUUCAUGAAGAAGGAAUUGCUAAGUAAUCUGCGCAUCAGCACGGCGCGGUGAAAAUUACUUUUAAGGCGCACUAAUUGUCCAUCAGGCGGGGGAAGUUGAAAUCAUCGGAAACUUUCUAAGCUUUUCUAGCAGUUUAGGGAAUUCUCUUUGCUGUUAGUAAGAGCCUCUGGGGAGUCAAGAGAUUUUGGCGACUUCUGUUAAGUUGUAGCAAAGUAGGGCUAGAGGAAUCUGGCCCUGAAAUGAAUAAAUC
Non-coding RNA from Rhizophagus irregularis, 1537 nucleotides. NCBI's taxonomy places the organism in Eukaryota, Fungi, Glomeromycota, Glomeromycetes, Glomerales, Glomeraceae. The record is from Rfam.